UAUCCACGGCCAUAGGACUCUGAAAGCACCGCAUCCCGUCCGAUCUGCGCAGUUAACCAGAGUGCCGCCCAGUUAGUACCACGG
Molecule: ribosomal RNA, 84 nt
Filed under: Pleurotus nebrodensis
Lineage: Eukaryota; Fungi; Basidiomycota; Agaricomycetes; Agaricales; Pleurotaceae
Source: RNAcentral